Molecule: non-coding RNA, 1216 nt
Organism: Alexandromys fortis (reed vole)
Lineage: Eukaryota; Metazoa; Chordata; Mammalia; Rodentia; Cricetidae
Source: the annotation of a RefSeq genome assembly
AUGUCUGGGGUCAGGGGACCCUGGUCACCGUCUCCUCAGGCUGUGGAGAAGGUUUUAGUACAGGAGCAGAGGCAGAGCACAGGCUGUGUUACUUACUGGUACUUCGAUAUCUGGGGUCAGGGGACCCUGGUCACCGUCUCCUCAGAGCCCAAGAGAUCUCCCACCAUCUUCCCACUGAGCCUCCCACAAUCUAUGUCCAAGGACCCAGUGAUAGUCGGCUGCCUGAUUCAGGAUUAUUUCCCAUCUGGAAGCAUGGACGUGACCUGGAGUAAGAGUGGAGACGAUGUGACAGCCAUAAACUUCCCACCUGUCCUGGUCUCCGAGGGCCGAUACACCAUGAGCAGCCGGUUGACCCUGCCAGCUGACCAGUGCCCAGCUGACGAAUCUGUGACAUGCUCCGUGAAACACGACUCUGACCCUGCCAAAGAUGUAGAAGUGCCCUGCAUAAAACCUGUUCCCCAAGUUUGCGACCAACCCCGCCUGACACUGCUCCGGCCAGCUCUCGAGGACCUGCUCAUGGGUUCAGAAGCCAGCCUCACAUGUACAGUGAAGGGCCUGAAAAAGGACGAGAUACCGGUUUUCACCUGGCAGCCCAGCACUGGGAAGGACGCAGUGACGAAGAAACCCGUGCCGGACCCCUGCGGCUGUUACAGUGUGUCCAGUGUCCUGCCUGGCUGUGCUGAGCGCUGGAACAAUGGGGAGAAGUUCACAUGCACAGUUAAACUCCCCGGCAAGCCUGACACCCUAACUGCCACAACUUUCAAAGUCCCAGACCCCUUGCCACCCCAGGUCCACCUGCUGCCGCCGCCGUCGGAAGAGUUGUCCCUGAAUGAGCUGGUGUCCCUGACAUGCCUGGUGCGAGGUUUCAAGCCUGAAGAUGUGUUGGUGCGUUGGCUGCAUGGAAACCAGGAGCUGUCUCGUGACAACUACCUGGUGUGGGAACCCAAGAAGGAAACAGGCGAGGGUGCCACCACCUAUGCAGUGACAAGCGUGCUGCGUGUGCCAGCUGAAGCAUGGAAACAGGGUGACAACUACUCCUGCAUGAUUGGCCACGAGGCUUUGCCCAUGGGCUUCACCCAGAAGACCAUCGACCGUCACUCGGGUAAACCCACCCAAGUCAAUGUGACUGUGAUCACGUCAGAGGCAGAUGGCGUCUGCUACUGAGCCACCCUGCCUACCCCUAUUCCUUAAAUAAACUCUGUGUUCAUCCAAAGUA